UAUACAAUUGUGUGUUUUGUUUCCUUUGAAAAAAAUACUCAGCUGUCAGAGUAAAUAUGUAAGUAGAAAUAUUUCCAUAGAAAAAAAUCGUGUUUGGAAUAGAUUACAUAUAUGCCUACAUUCAAAUUUCCCGCCACCACAUUAUUUUCCUUCAUAGUUCCACGAGUAUAAACUUGGAGCGCUAGGGUAGAACUUAAAACACGAAAAGUAGUAUUGAGUUUCCAAUCUUUCCGUAGGUGGAUAAUCUUUGCCGUGAUUCAGUCACGGGCCAUUUUGUGACACCCAAAUUAUGUUCGUUAUUAGUUUGUAAUGGGUUUGCUGAUGAGAGUUUAGGUUGCCGAAAUAUUAUGGUUUCGUGUGCUGCGUAUGGUUGCACGAAUAGAACAGAUAGAAAAAUUCCAGGAGUGUCAUUUCACAAGUUGCCUCGUCAUGAAGAGAAAAGGAAGUUGUGGAUGAAAGCAAUCAGAAGGAAGAAUUGGCAUCCUGGACCAAGGACAUGCAUUUGUUCUCAGCAUUUUCGCGAAGAGGACUUUGACAGGAUGUCGUUGUGUUAUGUUCGCCUUCGUGAAGAUGCUGUACCCAGCAUUUUCCCAGCUUUUCCUAAGCAUCUACAGCAGACAUUGAAGAAACGAAGAACGGUAACAUCAAUUAAAUCUAUUCUUGGAAGCACAAGUGAUGUUCAGAGAAGUUCUUUUCCAGACACAAAAUCAAAGACAGACAGUGAGAUAUUCAGUAAUAAUGCUGCAGAAUACCCAGGAAGGUUAAGAAGUCACUGUGAAGAUGUGAAGAGUGGGUGUGAGUCGGACAACAUGUCUGAAAACAUUCCACAUGCACUUGUUUUGGUGUGCAGUUUUUGUAACUUGGCUUUGGCAGAGUGCUCGUGCUUGAAUGACUGUGAAUCUUCUCCCUCCUUCCAUGGCAAAAGCAAAGACACCUUGAUGACAUUGUGCACCGGGGGCAAAGACCACGGGAGGUGGCCUCACCAACAGACUGUUGCUGUGUAGACUACAGUUUUGACUGCUCUGGGAAAUAAUUUGUGGUGAACUAUGAUCUAGUAGAACAUGUUGACCUUCGUAAACAAGAGCAACCUUUCAUGCGGGCAAAAGUGCAUCUAGUCGUGUCAAUUGGACGAA
Long non-coding RNA from Bacillus rossius redtenbacheri, 1133 nucleotides. RefSeq lists it as uncharacterized. The transcript has 4 exons. Lineage: Eukaryota; Metazoa; Arthropoda; Insecta; Phasmatodea; Bacillidae. The record is from RefSeq and is a predicted model, not a curated record.